RNAcentral lists this long non-coding RNA (395 nucleotides) under Ananas comosus (pineapple). RNAcentral describes it as "long non-coding RNA (ACOM_LNC029436)". The record is from RNAcentral. Lineage: Eukaryota; Viridiplantae; Streptophyta; Magnoliopsida; Poales; Bromeliaceae.
ACCUAGUGAUCAAAGGGUUUCAAAAUUAGUAAUUUUAAUGGUUGAUAUGAGAGGUUUUCUUGUUUAACGGUGUAAAGCUAUUCAAAUCAAUUGAAUUUUGAUUAGAAAAUUCUUUAAACUAUUUAGAACAAGAUCUAUACUCUCGAUCAUGAUUACAAAAUUUCUAUCAUCACUUUUUAGAGGAUAUUCAUUUUCAGCCAUUCAUUUUUACGCUCACUUGAUGGACAAGAAAACAAUAUCGGAAAAGUAUGAAAUUUGAUUUCUAGAUACUUCAAGUGGUAUAGAUCAUUUUCAACGGUGCCGAUCGUCGAUUUGGAGGCUCCAUCAUCGAAAAAAAAUGGGUGGCAACGGAGCCCGUUUGCUACUGAUAGCAUUCCAGCUCAACUCUAUAUAUA